GAUGAACGCUGGCGGCGUGCCUAAUACAUGCAAGUCGAGCGAACAGAUGAGGAGCUUGCUCCUCUGACGUUAGCGGCGGACGGGUGAGUAACACGUGGAUAACCUACCUAUAAGACUGGGAUAACUUCGGGAAACCGGAGCUAAUACCGGAUAAUAUAUUGAACCGCAUGGUUCAAUAGUGAAAGACGGUUUUGCUGUCACUUAUAGAUGGAUCCGCGUCGCAUUAGCUAGUUGGUAAGGUAACGGCUUACCAAGGCAACGAUGCGUAGCCGACCUGAGAGGGUGAUCGGCCACACUGGAACUGAGACACGGUCCAGACUCCUACGGGAGGCAGCAGUAGGGAAUCUUCCGCAAUGGGCGAAAGCCUGACGGAGCAACGCCGCGUGAGUGAUGAAGGUCUUCGGAUCGUAAAACUCUGUUAUCAGGGAAGAACAAAUGUGUAAGUAACUAUGCACGUCUUGACGGUACCUAAUCAGAAAGCCACGGCUAACUACGUG
Molecule: ribosomal RNA, 497 nt
Filed under: uncultured bacterium
Lineage: Bacteria
Description: partial 16S ribosomal RNA
Rfam family: Bacterial small subunit ribosomal RNA
Source: RNAcentral